This 465-nucleotide ribosomal RNA is filed under the name uncultured bacterium. Its description in RNAcentral is "partial 16S ribosomal RNA". It matches the Rfam family "Bacterial small subunit ribosomal RNA", at positions 338 to 795 of the family's 1533-position model. The record is from RNAcentral.
CCUACGGGUGGCAGCAGUAGGGAAUUUUUCACAAUGGGCGAAAGCCUGAUGGAGCAAUGCCGCGUGAAUGAUGAAGGUCUUAUAGACUGUAAAAUUCUUUUAUUUGGGAAGAAAAACUAAAGUAGGAAAUGCCUUUAGUCUGACUUUCCCAUUUGAAUAAGUCUCGGCUAACCAGGUGCCAGCAGCCGCGGUAAUACAUAGGAUGCAAGCGUUAUCCGGAUUUACUGGGCGUAAAACGAACGCAGGCGGGUUAACAAGUUUGGUAUGAAAGGCCGUUGCUUAAGGAAAGUUUGUAUCAAAAACUGGUAAUCUAGAGUGUAGUAGAGAGGUGUGGAAUUCCAGGUGGAGGGGUGGAAUGCGUAGAUAUAUGGAAGAACACCAGUGGCGAAGGCGAGAACUUAGGCUAUAACUGACGCUUAGGAGCGAAAGUGUGGGGAGCAAAUAGGAUUAGAUACCCUUGUAGUC